RNAcentral lists this long non-coding RNA (1443 nucleotides) under Salmo salar (Atlantic salmon). Its description in RNAcentral is "lncRNA (ENSSSAG00000098320.1)". The record is from RNAcentral. Lineage: Eukaryota; Metazoa; Chordata; Actinopteri; Salmoniformes; Salmonidae.
UCCCAUCAUUCCCACAUAGCGUACGCCUAGUCUCCUUGAAAUCAGGACAUCUUGAGGUAAAAUACAAGGGGCCAUUUUGAAUUUCUAAAGUUCAGCGUCCCACAUGGAGGAUAUUAACAUUCCAUAAACUUCUUUUUCAUGAUGGACGAGAGGAGGCAGGGUGUGUGUAACAGGAUUGGCACAAUGCUUGCAUUCCUCCAGAGGAACUUUGUUAAACAACCAGGAGGGCCCUCAUAGCCAGAGGGGUUUCAGUGUAUGUGUGUGUCUGUGUGUGUGUGUGUGUGUGUGUGUGUGUGUGUGUGUGUGUGUGUGUGUGUGUGUGUGUGUGUGUGUGUGUGUGUGUGUGUGUGUGGUGGGAGAGUCAGGAUGAGAGCCAAGGCCACCCGUCCCUCCCUCCCUCCCUUCUAGCCUGUGAUCCCUCUCUACAGAGAAAUGGUCGGGACUUUGUGGAAUCCUAACAGUCACAUUGAGAGGAUGCCAGCUUUUCUCUGGCACCAACAGAUUUCUCUCUCUCUAGUGAGUCCUUUGUCCUACAGGGAAGGAUGCAGUUAUGCCAAAUGUACUCGUCAACAAGCGAGGACAGCAUGUGAGCCAUUGGAGAAUGCGGUUUUGAAUAUUUAGAAAACACAUUUAUAUAUGUUUAGAAACAGUUACAUUCCAUCUUGGGUAUUUCAUCUCCUAUAUAACUUGCAAACAAGUUAUAUACUGUAGGACUACCAAUCCACACUUCUGUUUCAUUCACCAAUCACAACAUUGACGUGCUCAAAAUACGUUCCUCAUCCAGAAAUACAGACGUUCUAAUGGGUACAAAAGGAGACUGUCAGGGAGGAAUCUGAGCAGCAAUAACUUGGCUUGAUGACACAGUACGUUUCUAAAGGGCUUUAUAGGCACUAACUCACACGACAACACUGUAGAGUUGAGUCAGUGGGCUCAGAGACACACCUAAACCACCCUGGACUAAUCACACACAUUAACUCUCCAACAGACUGUCACCAAUCGCAUUUACAGUGCAUCUUUCCAACAGGUCCGUCUGAAAAGACACACAAAGCUAGAGAAUUGCAACACUAAUAUUCCUAGACUUAGAGCAACCUGGACCCUCUGGUCAGUCACUGACCGCUCCAGAGGUGAGCCGUCCCUCUGGUCAGUCACUGACCGCUCCAGAGGUGAGCCGUCCCUCUGGUCAGUCACUGACCGCUCCAGAGGUGAGCCGUCCCUCUGGUCAGGUAUUUGGAGACUGGAUGGUCAGGAGGGCCAGAGACCUGGUCCAGGUAUUCGGAGACUGGAUGGUCAGGAGGGCCAGAGUCCUGGUCCAGGUAUUUGGAGACUGGACGGUCAGGAGGGCCAGAGUCCUGGUCCAGGUAUUUGGAGACUGGACGGUCAGGAGAGCCAGAGUCCUGGUCCAGGUAUUUGGGGACUGGAUGGUCAGGAGGGCCCAGAGUCCUG